CCUACGGGCGGCAGCAGUGGGGAAUAUUGCACAAUGGGGGAAACCCUGAUGCAGCGACGCCGCGUGAGUGAAGACGUAAUUCGUUAUGUAAAGCUCUUUCAGCAGGGAAGAAAAUGACGGUACGUGAGUAAGAAGCCCGGGCUAACUACGUUCCAGCAGCGGCGGUAAUACGGAGGGGGCAAGCGUGAUCCGGAUUUACUGGGUGUAAGGGGAGCGUAGUCGGCAGUGCAAGUCUGGAGUGAAAGGCGGGGGCUCAACCCCCGGACUGCUCUGGAAACUGUACGGCUGGAGUGCAGGAGAGGUAAGCGGAAUUCGUGGUGUAGCGGUGAAAUGCGUAGAUAUUAGGAGGAACACCAGUGGCGAAGGCAGCUUACUGGAGUGUAACUGACGUUGAGGCUCGAAAGCGUGGGGAGCAAACAGGAUUAGAUACCCCUGUAGUC
Molecule: ribosomal RNA, 440 nt
Filed under: uncultured bacterium
Lineage: Bacteria
Description: partial 16S ribosomal RNA
Rfam family: Bacterial small subunit ribosomal RNA
Source: RNAcentral